RNAcentral lists this long non-coding RNA (548 nucleotides) under Salmo salar (Atlantic salmon). Its description in RNAcentral is "lncRNA (ENSSSAG00000120736.1)". Lineage: Eukaryota; Metazoa; Chordata; Actinopteri; Salmoniformes; Salmonidae. The record is from RNAcentral.
CAGGAAAACAGGUUUCUGACGGUAAACAUGUAUCAGAACGGCACUAUCAUGGUCCAGGGCAGUGAGGCUGCACUCAGCUCUGUUGUGCAGGACUUCCCCACCCUAAGGAAGAUAGCAGAAAGCAAAAAAGACAAGGACAGCACCCCGACCUCUCCCCUCACCUCAGGCACCCCAACAGCAGGACUAUCCUCCCCCUGCCUGCCUACAACCACCAGAGCCAAGACCACACUACCAUCAGCCUGUUGAGAGACAGGCUGGCUGUGUUAGAGGUAUGGGUUACUGAGCUGAAGGAGCAGCCCUCCAGCUACACCACCUCCAGACUGCUGAGAGACAGGCUGGCUGUGUUAGAGGUAUGGGUUACUGAGCUGAAGGAGCAGCCCUCCAGCUACACCACCUCCAGACUGCUGAGAGACAGGCUGGCUGUGUUAGAGGUAUGGGUUACUGAGCUGAAGGAGCAGCCCCCCAGCUACACCACCUCCAGACUGCUGAGAGACAGGCUGGCUCUGUUAGAGGUAUGGGUUACUGAGCUGAAGGAGCAGCUCCCCAGC